This 1201-nucleotide ribosomal RNA is filed under the name metagenome. RNAcentral's name for it is "bacterial LSU rRNA". It matches the Rfam family "Bacterial large subunit ribosomal RNA", at positions 1562 to 2782 of the family's 2925-position model. The record is from RNAcentral.
UACGGAAAGCUGCGGCAAGUACGGAAAAGCUGAGAGCAGGCUUCCAGGAAAAGCUUCUAGCACAACACGCAUCGGCCCGUACCGAAAAUGGACACACAUGGGCAAGGAGAGAAUCCUGAGGUGAGCGAGAGAACUAUAGCUAAGGAACUCUGCAAAAUGACCCCGUAACUUAGGGAGAAGGGGUGCUCCAGAAAUGGAGCCGCAGUAAAACGGCCCAAGCGACUGUUUACCAAAAACACAGCUCUCUGCGAAGGCGCAAGCCGAAGUAUAGGGGGUGACGCCUGCCCGGUGCUGGAAGGUCAAGGGGAGCUGUCAGCGCAAGCGAAGCAGCGAGCCGAAGCCCCAGUAAACGGCGGCCGUAACAAUAACGGUCCUAAGGUAGCGAAAUUCCUUGUCGGGCAAGUUCCGACCCGCACGAAAGGCGUAACGAUUUGGGCGCUGUCUCAGCUGUAGACUCGGUGAAGUCUUAGUACCUGUGAAGAUGCAGGUUGCCCGCGACUAGACGGAAAGACCCCAUGGAGCUUCACUGCAGGUUGACAUUGGGCUUGGAUGCAUGAUGUACAGGAUAGGUGGGAGGCUGUGAGCCGUGCGCGCCAGCGUACGGGGAGCCGCUGUUGGGAUACCACCCUUCAUGCAUCUAGGUCCUAACCGGAGGCAACGGGCCACGGGACAGUGUCAGUCGGGCAGUUUGACUGGGGCGGUCGCCUCCCAAAGAGUAACGGAGGCGCCCAAAGAUACCCUCAGCAUGGAUGGAAACCAUGCAUAGAGUGCAAAGGCAUAAGGGUGUCUGACUGCGAGACAUACAGGUCGAGCAGGGACGAAAGUCGGGCUUAGUGAUCCGGCGGAUCCGAAUGGAAGGGCCGUCGCUCAACGGAUAAAAGCUACCCUGGGGAUAACAGGCUGAUCUCCCCCAAGAGUUCACAUCGACGGGGAGGUUUGGCACCUCGAUGUCGGCUCAUCGCAUCCUGGAGCUGAAGUCGGUUCCAAGGGUUGGGCUGUUCGCCCAUUAAAGCGGUACGCGAGCUGGGUUCAGAACGUCGUGAGACAGUUCGGUCCCUAUCUGUCGUGGGCGCAGGAGGUUUGAGGAGAGCUGCCCCUAGUACGAGAGGACCGGGGUGGACGGACCGAUGGUGCACCAGUUGUCACGCCAGUGGCACAGCUGGGCAGCCAAGUCCGGACGGGAUAAGCGCUGAAGGCAUCU